Long non-coding RNA from Gigantopelta aegis, 425 nucleotides. RefSeq lists it as uncharacterized. The record is from RefSeq and is a predicted model, not a curated record. The transcript is spliced from 4 exons. NCBI's taxonomy places the organism in Eukaryota, Metazoa, Mollusca, Gastropoda, Neomphalida, Peltospiridae.
CGGCGAUGGAUUUUUGUGAAGUACAAGUGCUUGUCUGUGAUGCUGGCACCUUUGGUAAUGGCUGCAAUACGUUCUGUCACUGUCGAAAUGGACCGUGUAGCUAUGUAACUGGAGAAUGCACAGGAGGAUGUAAACCAAACUGGAGUGGACAGACGUGUAGUGUGUGUGAUUCUAACCACUAUGGUCCUCUGUGUGAGAAAUCGUGCUCCAGCAGACACUGUGACGAGGCACGUGGUAAAGCAUCAUGUAACAAAACGACUGGAAAAUGUGAAAACGGAUGCACAGCGGGAUGGGUGGGAGAAGACUGUUUAAAGGCGUGUGACCCUGGCUCUUUUGGAAAGGGGUGCACUCAGUUCUGCCACUGUCGAGAUGGACCGUGUAACUAUGUGACUGGAGAAUGUACUGGAGGAUGUAAACCAAACUGG